Molecule: ribosomal RNA, 280 nt
Filed under: uncultured Staphylococcus sp.
Lineage: Bacteria; Bacillati; Bacillota; Bacilli; Caryophanales; Staphylococcaceae
Description: partial 16S ribosomal RNA
Rfam family: Bacterial small subunit ribosomal RNA
Source: RNAcentral
GUGCCAGCAGCCGCGGUAAUACGUAGGUGGCAAGCGUUAUCCGGAAUUAUUGGGCGUAAAGCGCGCGUAGGCGGUUUUUUAAGUCUGAUGUAAAAGCCCACGGCUCAACCGUGGAGGGUCAUUGGAAACUGGAAAACUUGAGUGCAGAAGAGGAAAGUGGAAUUCCAUGUGUAGCGGUGAAAUGCGCAGAGAUAUGGAGGAACACCAGUGGCGAAGGCGACUUUCUGGUCUGUAACUGACGCUGAUGUGCGAAAGCGUGGGGAUCAAACAGGAUUAGAUA